AGCCGUCAAUUUUUAUCACUUUUUACAUCAAAAUUCAGUUUCAAAGCGCAAAAUUACCCCAAAAAACCUUUUUUGCAGAAGAUUUCGAUAAUUGGUGCAUUUUGUCGUAGGUUCGCGGUGUUUGCGUACUUUCGGAGCUACAGUACCCCG
Non-coding RNA from Caenorhabditis elegans, 150 nucleotides. The record is from Ensembl. NCBI's taxonomy places the organism in Eukaryota, Metazoa, Nematoda, Chromadorea, Rhabditida, Rhabditidae.